UUGAAGUGGGGACGCCAGUUCUCAUGGAGCCAUCCUUGAAAUACCACCCUGGUUCAUUUGAGGUUCUAACCUUGGUCCGUUAUCCGGAUCGGGGACAGUGCAUGGUAGGCAGUUUGACUGGGGCGGUCUCCUCCUAAAGUGUAACGGAGGAGUUCGAAGGUACGCUAGGUACGGUCGGACAUCGUGCUAAUAGUGCAAUGGCAUAAGCGUGCUUAACUGCGAGACUGACAAGUCGAGCAGAGACGAAAGUCGGUCAUAGUGAUCCGGUGGUCCCUCGUGGAAGGGCCAUCGCUCAACGGAUAAAAGGUACUCCGGGGAUAACAGGCUGAUACUGCCCAAGAGUCCAUAUCGACGGCAGUGUUUGGCACCUCGAUGUCGGCUC
This 382-nucleotide ribosomal RNA is filed under the name Aplanochytrium stocchinoi. RNAcentral describes it as "partial Bacterial large subunit ribosomal RNA". It matches the Rfam family "Bacterial large subunit ribosomal RNA", at positions 2157 to 2538 of the family's 2925-position model. The record is from RNAcentral. Lineage: Eukaryota; Bigyra; Thraustochytrida; Thraustochytriidae.